This 213-nucleotide unclassified non-coding RNA is filed under the name plant metagenome. RNAcentral's name for it is "partial contains small subunit ribosomal RNA, internal transcribed spacer 1, and 5.8S ribosomal RNA". The record is from RNAcentral.
UCUCCGUAGGUGAACCUGCGGAGGGAUCACUACAGGCUUGCAAAAGCUCUGAAACCACUGUUUAUCUACCUGAAUCUGCUCCGGCGGGCGGCCCCAGGGCGGGGCCGUAGCCGCAAGGCGCCCGCCGAAGACCCCUAAACUCUGUCGUCUUGAGAAUCUCUGAGUAAUUAUAUUAAACAAAAACAACUUUCAACAACGGAUCUCUUGGCUCUG